UCAGGUGGCCGCAGAGAAUAGGCCCAAGCGACUGUUUACCAAAAACAUAGGUUUCUGCUAAGUCGCAAGACGAUGUAUAGGAGCUGACGCCUGCCCGGUGCUGGAAGGUUAAGGGGAUCUGUUAGAGCAAUCGAAGCAGUGAACUUAAGCCCCAGUAAACGGCGGCCGUAACUAUAACGGUCCUAAGGUAGCGAAAUUCCUUGUCGGGUAAGUUCCGACCCGCACGAAAGGCGUAACGAUUUGGGCACUGUCUCAACAACAGACUCGGUGAAAUUGUAAUUCCGGUGAAGAUGCCGGAUACCUGCGACAGGACGGAAAGACCCCAUGGAGCUUUACUGUAGCUUGACAUUGGGUCUUGGUACUACAUGUACAGGAUAGGUGGGAGGCUUUGAAACCAGGACGCCAGUUUUGGCGGAGCCAUCCUUGGGAUACCACCCUUGUAGUACUGGGACUCUAACCAUAGGCCAUGAAUCUGGUCUUGGGACACUGUCAGGUGGGCAGUUUGACUGGGGCGGUCGCCUCCCAAAAGGUAACGGAGGCGCUCAAAGGUUCUCUCAGUACGGUCGGAAAUCGUACGUAGAGUGUAAAGGCAAAAGAGAGCUUGAUUGCAAGACAUACAGGUCGAGCAAGGAUGAAAAUCGGACUUAGUGAUCCGGUGGUUCUGCGUGGAAGGGCCAUCGCUCAACGGAUAAAAGCUACCCUGGGGAUAACAGGCUUAUCUCCCCCAAGAGUCCACAUCGACGGGGA
RNAcentral lists this ribosomal RNA (747 nucleotides) under Clostridioides difficile. RNAcentral's name for it is "bacterial LSU rRNA". It matches the Rfam family "Bacterial large subunit ribosomal RNA", at positions 1769 to 2514 of the family's 2925-position model. The record is from RNAcentral. Lineage: Bacteria; Bacillati; Bacillota; Clostridia; Peptostreptococcales; Peptostreptococcaceae.